This 253-nucleotide ribosomal RNA is filed under the name uncultured bacterium. RNAcentral's name for it is "partial 16S ribosomal RNA". It matches the Rfam family "Bacterial small subunit ribosomal RNA", at positions 524 to 776 of the family's 1533-position model. The record is from RNAcentral.
UACGUAGGGUGCGAGCGUUAAUCGGAAUUACUGGGCGUAAAGCGUGCGCAGGCGGUUACAUAAGACAGAUGUGAAAUCCCCGGGCUUAACCUGGGAACUGCGUUUGUGACUGUGUGACUAGAGUACGGCAGAGGGGGGUGGAAUUCCUGGUGUAGCAGUGAAAUGCGUAGAUAUCAGGAGGAACAUCGAUGGCGAAGGCAGCCCCCUGGGAUAACACUGACGCUCAUGCACGAAAGCGUGGGGAGCAAACAGG